AACGAACGCUGGCGGCAUGCUUAACACAUGCAAGUCGAACGAGACCUUCGGGUCUAGUGGCGCACGGGUGCGUAACGCGUGGGAAUCUGCCCUUUGCUACGGAAUAACUCAGAGAAAUUUGUGCUAAUACCGUAUGAUGUCGCAAGACCAAAGAUUUAUCGGCAAAGGAUGAGCCCGCGUAAGAUUAGCUUGUUGCUGAGGUAAAAGCUCACCAAGGCGACGAUCUUUAGCUGGUCUGAGAGGAUGAUCAGCCACCUCUGGGACGGAGACACGGCCCAGACUCCUACGGGAGGCAGCAGUGGGGAAUAUUGGACAAUGGGCGAAAGCCUGAUCCAGCAAUGCCGCGUGAGUGAUGAAGGCCUUAGGGUUGUAAAGCUCUU
This 380-nucleotide ribosomal RNA is filed under the name Sphingopyxis sp. Fw70-13. RNAcentral's name for it is "bacterial SSU rRNA". It matches the Rfam family "Bacterial small subunit ribosomal RNA", at positions 29 to 435 of the family's 1533-position model. The record is from RNAcentral. Lineage: Bacteria; Pseudomonadati; Pseudomonadota; Alphaproteobacteria; Sphingomonadales; Sphingopyxidaceae.